RNAcentral lists this long non-coding RNA (1252 nucleotides) under Vitis vinifera (wine grape). Its description in RNAcentral is "long non-coding RNA (VVIN_LNC007970)". Lineage: Eukaryota; Viridiplantae; Streptophyta; Magnoliopsida; Vitales; Vitaceae. The record is from RNAcentral.
AGGAAGUCUAAUAUUACAAUAAUAUAUCAACCUAGAAAUAUUCUAUACAAUAUUCUUUACAAAAAGGAAUAUUUACUAAUUAGGAAUUUGGGACAAUUCCCAACAAUCUCCACCUUGGACCAAAUUACAUGAAGUUAAUCUUCAAUCUCUCCAUGACACAAACCUUUUUGUAUCAUAUCACCACGAAAGAGCAAUUGACUCCACCUUCAGUGAAAAUUCCUUUUGUUUUCAUCUUGUGUGCUUUGUGAUCUUUUACUCUUCCAGAAAUCUUCAACCCAAGCUCUGAUACCAAUUGUAGUGCCAACGAAAGCUUUGAUGCCAACAAUGUUAGCUCAAGAACACAAAGAUAAAACAAUCACACAUACGUUACACGAGGUUUUAACGUGGUUCGGCCAACCAUGCCUACGUCCACGGAUGAGAGAGAAUAAUUCCACUAUACAAUAGAGAAUAUUACAGAGGAUAGAACCAGAUACAACUAUUGGGUUCCCGAAACAUCCCAUGUUUCCCCACUCCUUGUAUCCAUACCUUGCUACGAGCCCUCUCGCUCCACCAGGUACCUCCCGUUCUUCCUCACAUCUCUAUCCACCUCGUAUAGUCUCUGUAGGCCCAUCUCCAUCUCAUGACUUUUUCCCCUCAUGACCUAGAAUAUUUAUAGAGAUAUUUCUAACAACCUUCCUUAUUCUAUAAGGAAGUCUAAUAUUACAAUAAUAUAUCAACCUAGAAAUAUUCUAUACAAUAUUCUUUACAAAAAGGAAUAUUUACUAAUUAGGAAUUUGGGACAAUUCCCAACAAUCUCCGCCUUGGACCAAAUUACAUGAAAUUAAUCUUCAAUCUCUCCAGGACACAAACCUUUUUGUAUCAUAUCAUCACGAAAGAGCAAUCGACUCCACCUUCAGUGAAAAUUCCUUUUGUUUUCAUCUUGUGUGCUUUGUGAUCUUUUACUCUUCCAGAAAUCUUCAACCCAAGCUCUGAUACCAAUUGUAGUGCCAGCGAAAGCUUUGAUGCCAACAAUGUUAGUUCAAGAACACAAAGAUAAAACAAUCACACAUACGGUACACGAGGUUUUAACGUGGUUCGGCCAACCAUGCCUACGUCCACGGAUGAGAGAGAAUAAUUCCACUAUACAAUAGAGAAUAUUACAGAAGAUAAAACCAGAUACAACUUUUGGGUUCCCGAAACAUCCCAUGUUUCCCCACUCCUUGUAUCCAUACCUUACUACGAGCCCUCUCGCUCCACCAGAUACCUCCCGUUC